AGAUAACUUGGACUUUACUGAUUCAGAGCAAAGUGAAGACAGUGAUGCUGAGGAGACACACCCACAGACAAUAACAGAAAUGGAGAGUACAUCAGUUUCAGUUUGGACCCAGACUCUUAAGAAGACCUCAGAUGACCAACACCUUUGAAGAGACGGCGCCAACUCCUGCGAGGACUUCAGAUGACGCAACAUCUGGAUCAACGUGAACAUUCCCAAAUUUCUAUAUAUCCUAAUUAUUGUUAAUAUGUAAUUCAUUAUUUCCAGGAGCUCAUUGCUUCUACCUUCAAUUAAACCGCUAACAGUGAUUGUAAAUUAAAUUGCCUAAAUUAUUACAUCGUUAGCUAACUGCAUUCUCUAAAUUGUAAUGUUGAUAUCAUAGCAACGACAGAUGCCCUGGGAGCGCAAGCGCUUGGGAAAGAAGAGUUACGUUCCAAAUGACGCACUAUACCAUGCACUUUAUACACUAUAGUUGUGUCCCAAAUGACACCCUAUGCACUUAUACACUAUGUACAUAUGCACUAUGUACUCAUCGAUGUAGUGUAUGAAUUUUAUAAGCUUAUUUUGUCAUUAAACAUCGGAGUCUGAUCCCCCCUCCUCCUCAGAAAUGUAAUUAAAGCUGCGACAGUUGAGUGCAUGAAGUGUCCAACAUUCCACACUUCAUUUUUUCCAUUAAUUUAGUGCAUCGUUCGGAUAUUUAAAGUGCACUUUUUCUUUUUGGAAGUUUCUGUGUGAACGCACUAC
Long non-coding RNA from Ctenopharyngodon idella (grass carp), 741 nucleotides. RefSeq lists it as uncharacterized. Lineage: Eukaryota; Metazoa; Chordata; Actinopteri; Cypriniformes; Xenocyprididae. The record is from RefSeq and is a predicted model, not a curated record. The transcript is spliced from 2 exons.